This 200-nucleotide unclassified non-coding RNA is filed under the name Cladophialophora sp. Its description in RNAcentral is "partial internal transcribed spacer 2". Lineage: Eukaryota; Fungi; Ascomycota; Eurotiomycetes; Chaetothyriales; Herpotrichiellaceae. The record is from RNAcentral.
UUAAGUUCAGCGCGUAUUCCUACCUGAUCCGAGGUCAACCUUAGAAGUUUCCUAGCUAAAGGAGAGGACCGGGUCCUGGGUGCCCUUGUCCGAUACGUGCUCAGUUAAAAGCUCAGUGUACCGGGGGAACCACAGGCCGCCGUCAUUGUCUUUAGGAGGGGUCGAUCGCUCGACCAGCCGUCCAACACCAAGCACAGGGC